AUUUUUUUUAAAUUUAUGGUUAGGUAAAAGGAGCUGUGUACUGGAUGGUAUCUGCACAGCAUGAUGUGGCUGUAUGUCUGGGGCUACACAUUCAGUGGUAUACAAGAGCAGGUUGCUCAGCAUCUGAAAGGAUGUAAGAUUUACUUUGUACCUGCACUUUUCUUUCUAUUUUUAUUAUGUUACUUUUUUUUUUUUUUUUUUUUACAGGAUUUGUUUUUGUGCCUUUUUUACUGAAAUCGGAAAGAAUGCUGCAUCUACCCCAGGCAGAACAUCUGUGCAACUGGAUGAAGAGGAGGAGACAUGGCCAAUGCAGCAAAAAGAUUGUUACAAGGAUGAACAAGAGAAGUUGGAACUUCUGAUUUCAGUGCACUGCUGAGGAGUGAGUUCCCUGUGCUUCAUGAAGUGAUUCUGAGAGAGCCACCUUUUAGAUUACACUUGUUUCUGGAACAUACUGGGUGCCUGGCAGGAAAAUUCCCUCAUGAAUGGCACUGACUCCAACCUAGGCUUUCCUGAGAGCCAGUGAGUCCUUUGGAACACUCCAAGUUGACAAAGAUGUUGAGUUAACCAGUCACUGUUAAAAUGUUGCAGAAAUUUGGAACACAACUAUGAUGUAAUUCAAGUACCUGCACGGUUCAUCCUGUUGUCC
RNAcentral lists this long non-coding RNA (646 nucleotides) under Phasianus colchicus (ring-necked pheasant). RNAcentral's name for it is "lncRNA (ENSPCLG00000003185.1)". The record is from RNAcentral. Lineage: Eukaryota; Metazoa; Chordata; Aves; Galliformes; Phasianidae.